RNAcentral lists this ribosomal RNA (209 nucleotides) under Aminivibrio pyruvatiphilus. Lineage: Bacteria; Thermotogati; Synergistota; Synergistia; Synergistales; Aminobacteriaceae. The record is from RNAcentral.
UCCGGUGGUCAUAGCGGAGGGGUCACACCCGGUUCCAUGCCGAACCCGGCAGUUAAGCCCUCCAGCGCCGAUGGUACUGCGGAGGCUAUCCGUGGGAGAGUAGGACGCUGCCGGAAGUCCUUUUUUUAUUGGAUUACAGAUGAAACAGAGCAUUGCGAAGCGGAGAGUUUCCGGCCACAGCCGGAGAUUCUCCGCUUUUUUCGUGCUCU